RNAcentral lists this ribosomal RNA (168 nucleotides) under Vibrio cholerae. RNAcentral describes it as "partial 23S ribosomal RNA". It matches the Rfam family "Bacterial large subunit ribosomal RNA", at positions 2763 to 2925 of the family's 2925-position model. Lineage: Bacteria; Pseudomonadati; Pseudomonadota; Gammaproteobacteria; Vibrionales; Vibrionaceae. The record is from RNAcentral.
GAUAACCGCUGAAAGCAUCUAAGCGGGAAGCGAGCCCUGAGAUGAGUCUUCCCUGAUACUUUAAGUAUCCUAAAGGGUUGUUCGAGACUAGAACGUUGAUAGGCAGGGUGUGUAAGCGUUGUGAGGCGUUGAGCUAACCUGUACUAAUUGCCCGUGAGACUUAACCAU